Molecule: transfer RNA, 82 nt
Organism: Phormidium tenue NIES-30
Lineage: Bacteria; Bacillati; Cyanobacteriota; Cyanophyceae; Oscillatoriales; Oscillatoriaceae
Rfam family: tRNA
About the family: Transfer RNA (tRNA) molecules are approximately 80 nucleotides in length. Their secondary structure includes four short double-helical elements and three loops (D, anti-codon, and T loops).
Source: Rfam
GGGCGGAUGGCGGAAUUGGUAGACGCACCACACUCAAAAUGUGGCGACUUCGGUUGUGCGAGUUCGAGUCUCGCUCCGCCCA